Molecule: long non-coding RNA, 1155 nt
Filed under: Monodelphis domestica (gray short-tailed opossum)
Lineage: Eukaryota; Metazoa; Chordata; Mammalia; Didelphimorphia; Didelphidae
Description: lncRNA (ENSMODG00000036565.1)
Source: RNAcentral
AUGGCCUUUUUCCCCCUCAGUCUUCUUUUCUCCCUGACUUUGCUGUGGCCUGACAUAGUUGAUCACUCUCUUCUGACUAGGAUUCUCUCCUGGUUCUCCUCCUAUAUCUCUGACCGCUUCUUCUUGGUCUCCUUUGCUCUCCUGUCUCAGGUCAAUAUCUGGAGGUCUGGCGGGGAUAAAGUGGUCCCAGCAGCUCAGCCCAGAAGCAGGAAGGGCCUCCUAAGUCCGGUCCGGCUCCAGCCCCCUGGCUGCCAGCCGGAGCCCUCCUCAGCCGCCCAGGCCAAUGGGAGCGCCAGCCCCGGCCCCACCCUCCAGCCGUGCCGGACCAGAACUUGGAGUGCAGGCUCUGCGCCUCCCGAGGAGCGGAGCGGCGCGGCGGACACUUCCUCCUUCUACCCAUUUCACAGCCCGGGAUUAUUACUGCGGAUGACGGCCAGGAAUUGGGCUCAUUUCCACUAGCCAGCCCCGGAGGGACGGCUCUGGUUUCAGAAGGGAAAGCGGCCUCGGGGACUUGCCCAGGUGACGGGGCAGCGGCAGGCCUGGCCGGCGGCUCAGCCCUCCUUGGCGCGCUGACCGCGGCCCCUUCCUGGGGAGAGGAGGGGAAGUCUUCCGCCGACCCCGGAGGCCCCCCGGCGGCUUGGUCUGUGGCGCUCGGGGCGGCCUGGGCUGAGAGAGCAGGCAGCGGGCAGGACCCCCCCCCCCCCCCGGGCGUCCUACUCACCUCUCGUCGAGCGGGGAUCCUCCCCCGUCCUGUGCCCGAUGCCCGACCGACGACUGGCUGGCAGAGAGAGAGAGAGAGAGCCGGAGAGCGGCCGCCGGCCCCUCCCCUCUGACAGAGAGAGAGGAGCCCUGAAAAGUUGCAUUGAGGCCCAGCCCCGAGCUGAGCGGGCCAGGUGACCGCAGCCCCUCCCAGCCCCCACACAAAGAGAGACAUUGAGGCAGAGUCCCCCCAGCCGCCGGGGCUGCUUCCUGCCUUCCCCGGGGUCCAGGGCCGGGAAGGCUUUCCCCUCCCUCUGCGAAAUGCGGGCUGGGGCCACACCGGCUCUCACUGGCCUCUCCAUCCAGGUGGGCAAACAGGUGGUAAGGAGGAGCUUUUAUAAAAAAGCGGCCCCCUUCUCAAGCGUGGCGAGAGCCAGCAUCCCCCGGAGAGGAGGC